GGAAAAUACAACGCCAACGUUUUUCUAAGAACACAAGGAAGCUCAUCGGCCAGUGCCAGUGUGGCUCAUAAGGUGUUUCCGAGAGGACGUUAAGUUAACAACAAUGUCUUGGCUGCCAAAUAUUCUACUGGCUGCGACCCUAGCCGCCACACUCGCUUCCCUAGUUGAUGUUAGAGCGCACCACGGAUCUACCGGCUCCCCGGCAACCAAAAGUUCUUCAGAUACACUAGCAGUGAAUAAGGACCCAGUCAUAGCUUGCAUUACGUGUGGAGUUAGUCACUGUCCCGCUGGUACAACUCCGGUUUGGGCUGGAUUUUUAAUAUGCAAGAAGAAAAGAAGUGGAAAAAAUGCAGAAGAAUUAAGUUAAAAGCCAAAUAAUGACGACGCUUUUGAUUUUGGGAGAAACUUUUUCUCGGUCUGCCUUCAAUAAAGCCAAGUCUUACCGCUGAAAUGAUAGUUAUUCUUAGUAUUUGUAACUUAAUGAUUUAUAGUCUAAUAAAACGAUUAUGUAAU
Long non-coding RNA from Leguminivora glycinivorella, 513 nucleotides. RefSeq lists it as uncharacterized. The transcript has 2 exons. Lineage: Eukaryota; Metazoa; Arthropoda; Insecta; Lepidoptera; Tortricidae. The record is from RefSeq and is a predicted model, not a curated record.